Long non-coding RNA from Carassius auratus (goldfish), 1920 nucleotides. The record is from Ensembl. NCBI's taxonomy places the organism in Eukaryota, Metazoa, Chordata, Actinopteri, Cypriniformes, Cyprinidae.
GUCUGUUCAAAAAUUGUUUGUCCUCUACAUAACUGCCAUACUUGGGAAUCGCUAUUAUUAUAAAUGUGGAAAAUAUUAAAGAAAAAAGAAAGAAAGAGUAAGUGUGUCCAGAAUGAUGUUGAAUACACAGUAUACACACAGUAUGUACAUACAUGCUGAGAAAGAGUAGCUCUCAUCAACUGUUUGUAUAAAUUGAACAGUUAACAUCAACUGUUACCAGCUAGUUUGUUCUGUCCAGUGUUCAUUUGUGUGUGUGUGUUCAUGUGUGUGUGUGUGUGUGUGUGUGUGUGUUCCAGUAGCCGAGGUUGUGUGCAGCUCCUGGGGUUGUAAGCUGAUUAGCUGGCUGCUCCAUCCCACGCUGCUUCUGGAGGGAGGAGAUUUAGAGCUAUUAUAACCACUAAGUCCUCUCUGCUACAUGUUUACAGGUCAGGUUAACAGACGUGCACACACAUAUCUACAAACUGAGGCAUCACUGCAGCUCUCAGGAGCGCGUGUACGAACUCUGGAGCGGGUCAUAUUCUUUGUUUCCAUGCCGACCCUCAGGAUGGAGUGAGUCUGUUGUCUUCGGUGGCUGAAGGCAGCGAGGUAUCCCGCAGUCCUGAACACUGCUAGCAUGCCUGUGCAUCAGAUAUCAGUCGUGCCCAUCGCCAAAGAGACCGGCAAAAGCUCUAGCCGGAACAGAGACAAGAGUAAAGAGAAUGAGGCAAGUACACACAUUUAAAUCAGAGAAUCCGUGAUGCAUGUGGAGUUUUUCAUAACAAAUACCAUAGUUUGUUGUUGAUGAUGAAGAUGUAGCCAUCCAUAAUUUUCCAUAUGGUUAUUAUAGUCUGUUAGUACACUUGUAUUGCACAAUAUUACACUUUCAUUAUGGUUACUGUUGCACAAGUAUUAAGUUGUGAGUAUUAUCCUAUAAUGACAUUUCUGCUAUUUAGUUUGCAUGAAUCGGUAAGAUUUACUGUAAGUGCCAAAGCAAGCAAAUUGCGUGGAUAAAAAAAUGACUCAAUCUCAUGUAAACAGAAAUAUAGCCUAGAGCAGGAGCUGGACGGUUUUGUAUUGGAAAAGAAAUUGCUGCUAUAAAUAGAACAGCAAGGCAGUGUUACAUAUAUUUCAGCCUCUUCAGGGUCAUUGGCAUUUCUUUCAAGUAUAUUGUAAAUCAAACAUGCUUUUCCAACGAAUCACUUUAGCAUGUUUGCAGUUCAGUUAGUUUCAGCGGUGUGUAAGUUUGUAAUAUCCAGGACCUUUUUUUAUUUUUUUAAUGUGUGAGCAUUAUUGUUAGGCAAACAAUAUGAUGCAUAUCAUACACAAACAUGGCAGGUGCUGGCUAAAAUCACAGGUCCAAUCAUUUUGAGGAACUGAUCUCUGCAUUUGCCAAAUAUUUUCAUGUUUGUUGCACCAAAUAUGAAAUAUAUUUAGAGUUUUGUUUUAGAGGCUUAGUAGUACCAUGAGCAUAUCUGAAUAGUAUUUGGUCUGUGAAAUAAUCACCAUUUAUCACUUUUUUGUGGAUCGACAUAAAUUAUGAAUAUUACCUAGAAUUGUCAAAAAAUGUCUUUGAGGUGUUUUCUGCAUUUGUCUGGCCACUGGUGCUGAUGGCAAUUAUUUAAUGCCUUUUCCACAGUGAUCUUUAUUGUGAUUUUAGAUUUACUUGCCCCUUAAAUGGUAUAAAAAACAUGUUCCAUGUUGUCAUGUUAUGUGUAGAUGUCUGGCUAAGCAAAGCUAUCUUCAGUAUGCUUUGGCUGACCAUGCCCCACAGGAAGUUUAAAAUCAUUUGUCUUUUAAUCAUUUAGAUUUGCAUGUCCUGAAUGAAAUAUCAUGCCUGAAUUUGGGUCAAAUUUAAUAACUUGCUCCCUUACAAUUCAUAAGUAUGCAUUUAUAUUCACUUGACCACACCCCACAGGAAGUUAAAUUGGAAUUAAAGGACUA